RNAcentral lists this ribosomal RNA (253 nucleotides) under uncultured bacterium. Its description in RNAcentral is "partial 16S ribosomal RNA". It matches the Rfam family "Bacterial small subunit ribosomal RNA", at positions 524 to 776 of the family's 1533-position model. The record is from RNAcentral.
UACGUAGGGGGCAAGCGUUGUCCGGAAUCAUUAGGCGUAAAGAGCGUGUAGGCGGCCCGGUAAGUCCGCUGUGAAAGUCGGGGGCUCAACCCUCGAAUGCCGGUGGAUACUGUCGGGCUAGAGUGCGGGAGAGGCGAGUGGAAUUCCUGGUGUAGCGGUGAGAUGCGCAGAUAUCAGGAGGAACACCAAUUGCGAAGGCAGCUCGCUGGAACGUUACUGACGCUGAGACGCGAAAGCGUGGGGAGCAAACAGG